CAGCAGAGACCGCACAGGAGGAGGAAGAGGAAGAGGAGGAGGAGAGCUCCAGGAUUAUGUCUUCGGGGUUUUCGCCAAGGCGGCAGAGCAGAGUUUGAACCGCUGCUGCGAAUAGUCGCCGAAAAAAGUUACCACGUGUAAAAAAAAAAGAAGCUGCCUCUGACAUUGAAGGAGAAGACGUGGAGCGAUGCGUAAAAUCACUUUUCGCCGCCACUGGAUGUUUGUGUGAUGGCCUGAACUUCGUUUUUGUCCCUGCAGAGCCAACUGUGAUACUCACAGGGACACACUGAGGAGGAGGAGGAGGAGGAGGAGGAGGAGGAAGACUAGGAGCAUGCAGCGAGCACAGAGACACUGUCGGUGAGGCAGCUCUGUGUGGACUCCCUGCCUUUGUUUCCCUCCGUGUCCGUGGCCGGGGAGGAGAUGAGAGCUCAGGAUGGGACUGUGCCUCGGUACCGAAGUCACGGAGGAGGAGAAGAAGGCGAGGAUACACAGUGUCAAGAUAGACAAAGACCUGUACGAGUCCGCCAAGCGCGAGAUGAACGUGGUUAAAAUACUCUUACUAGGUGCAGCAGAGAGCGGCAAAAGCACACUGGUCAAACAGAUGAAGAUCAUCCACAGUAAUGGAUUCACUAAACAAGAGCUAACUAGCUUCAAGCCUGCAGUGCUGGAUAACCUCCUGACCUCCAUGAAGUUUGUCCUCCAUGGCAUGGGCGUCCUCAGGAUCAACCUGGCAAACAGCAGGAACAAGGUCCACGCCCAUUCUGUCCUGUCAUGUGGGCGGUGCUUUGACGAAGAACAGGUGCUGUUUCCCUUCCUGAGCCACGCCCUGUCCUGUCUGUGGACCGACCACGGGGUGAGGGCCGCGGCGGCUCGGGGAUACGAGUACGAGCUGAAUGACUCGGCGCUGUAUUUCUUUGAGAACAUGACCCGCAUCAUGUCUACAGACUACGUGCCCACGGAGACCGAUGUUCUGCGAGUGCGACUGAGGACAACAGGGGUGAUAGAGACACAGUUUAAGGUCAAGCACCUCAUUUUCAGGAUGUAUGACGUCGGAGGCCAGCGCACUGAGCGCAGGAAGUGGAUCAGUUGUUUUGAGGACGUCAGGGCGGUGCUGUUCGUGGUGUCCCUCAGUGGUUACGACAUGACCCUGGUGGAGGACCCCUCCAUGAAUCGGCUGCAAGAGAGCAUGAAGCUCUUCUCCUCCAUCUGCAACAAUGUCUUCUUCCGUAGCACAUCCAUGAUUUUAUUCCUGAACAAGAUAGACCUUUUCCAAGACAAGAUUUUACACUCUGGACGACAUCUGAGGUUAUACCUGCCACAGUUUAAAGGCGCCGACUGCGACGUGGACUCCGCCGCCCGCUUCAUUGCGGCCACCUUCGCGUCACUCAAUUCCAUGCCCAGCAAACUCAUAUACCACCACUUCACCACGGCGACUGACACCUCCAACGUCCAGGUCGUCUUCCAGGUGGUUAUGGACACCAUAAUCAAAGAGAACCUGGAGGCCGUCUCGCUUCUGUAGCAGCCGCCACGGACCUUUGGCCCAAGUGUGUGUCAUUUUACUGGCUCAUGCAUAAGAAAGAGGGGAUCGGACUGAUCGCGGAGAUCUUCUCAUUCAAGCAUGUUGUUUGUCUUCCCUCUUAAAGAGCAGCUCGCGACGAUCACUGUUGAUCACUGUUGACUUUGAGUCCUUGGAGGCGCUCGAGUUCAUGUGCUAACACAACUAACAGUGAUGGCCUUUUGUUGGUUUGUACUGUGCUCGGAAAUCCAAUGAUGAACACUCUAAAGACACAAGCGUGUGUGUGUGUGUGCGCAUAUAUGUACAGUAUGCACAUUCACCUGCCACUUUCAUAGCUACACAGGACACCCAUCAGAGUGGCACACAGUGUUGCCGCCCACUGCUGUAGACCAUCUGCUUCAGAGUGUGACGUACACUCACAGUCAGUAGUUAUUCCAGUUAGUGUAGCCUUUCUAUCUUUUCAAAGCUGUCUGGCCAUUCUCUGAUAUUUUCAGUCUCUGUGAACGCCAGAGAUCACUGUGUGUUCAAAUGCCGCUUGAUCAACAGUUUCUGAAGUUCUGAAAUCACUGAAAUCGCCUUUCUUCCUCAUGCCGAUUCCCCGUUUCCGCUUCAGCAGGUGGUCUUGACCAUGUCUGUGUGCCUAAAUGCAUUAAGUUGAUGCCAUGUGAUUGGAUGACUACAUAUUUAGUUGAACGGGUCCACCUCACAAAGUGAGCCCGAAUCGGCUCCCGGGGAUCGGUGGAGGAUGAGGACUUUCUCCGCUUGGUCAGCUUCCGGACUCACGCGGACAGGCAGUCCAGGGAGUCCAGGGUGAGGAAGACAUCCGCCUUGCACUGGAAGGUGCCUGUCCCGUCCCGCAGAAGCUCACAGCUCUUCAGGUUUGGAGAGAUGUCCUUCACGCAGAUGGCCUGCAGCAGCGUCUCUCCAGUCUCGGACCUCCGGACAUACGGCGACCUCCUGAUGCCGGACAGCAAACCGGAGGCGCGACCCACCGAGUAGUAACUGGGCCCGGCCGUCUGCUUGUACCAGGCUUCGACUGGGUGGCAAGAGAUGAGCAGAGACACUCCGACGCACACCACGGCGAAUCUGACGGACCUCUCCAUGUUUUUUUUUACGCACAAGUAAAACGGCGAUGUCUCCGUCUGCUCUGUCUGAUACGCUUAGCUGGGUUGUUUGGGAAACUUUGUGCUGCUUUUAUAGGCUGCGUGGCAGACGUUAUCGUGACCCAGGGACGUUCGUCAAAUCCAAAGUGACGUGGGCGGAUGAUGACCCGUCUUUAUGGAGGAGAAGGAAAAAGACCAAUCACAAUCGAUCCGUUUUUCGUGGCGUGUCGGGGGCAUGAGAGGGGUGGUGGUGGUGCACGUGUGUGUGUGCGUGUGUGUGUAUGCACUUGUAUUUGUUACCUCUUUAGGACAUCUUUCUGGUGUAAACACUCACCAAGUCAGGACUAGUUCUGUCUCAUGGACCUAAUGAGACUCAUUAUCUGAGGAACUGGUUAAGAUUUGAAUUGUGGGUAGAAUAAAGUUAGGGUUUGGCAAACCUGUGUGUGUGUGUGUGUGUGUGUGUAGGAGUAUGAGGGGGCUGGAGAUAUACAGGGAUGUCAUUCCUCUGACGCUUGUAGAGGUAAAAGUGAAAUGGAUUACUAGAAGUGAACCAGGAUAGGCGCUGACGCAGGCUGGUUUGUCCAGUCAGUGACAAACAAAAUGUUCUCCUUCAUCACCAUAAUCUUCUUCAUCACUGAUCACUGCUUUCACUUAAUCCCUGAAAUGUAUAAAUAAAUAACUAAAAACACUGUACUGUAUGCAACAUGUGCAUCAAAGCGUGUGCCUUUGUGGCUUCAAACGAAUUUCAACAAAGUGGACGGAUUGGCGUAGAAAAGAAAAAAAGAUGAGCACAUCAAUAAACAUGGGUCAAUAAUU
Molecule: RNA transcript, 3435 nt
Organism: Solea senegalensis (Senegalese sole)
Lineage: Eukaryota; Metazoa; Chordata; Actinopteri; Pleuronectiformes; Soleidae
Gene: gnav1
Gene name: guanine nucleotide binding protein (G protein) alpha v1
Exons: 11
Source: RefSeq, a predicted model, not a curated record